Molecule: ribosomal RNA, 303 nt
Filed under: uncultured eukaryote
Lineage: Eukaryota
Description: SSU rRNA
Rfam family: Eukaryotic small subunit ribosomal RNA
Source: RNAcentral
AGCUCCAAUAGCGUAUAUUAAAGUUGUUGCGGUUAAAAAGCUCGUAGUUGGAUUUCUGCCUGAGGCAGCCGGUCCGCACAUCGUGCGUGUAUCUGGUUUGGUUUGGGCAUCCUCUUGGGGAUCGUUGCUGUGCUUAGUUGCAUGGUGCGGAAUUCAAGACUUUUACUUUGAGGAAAUUAGAGUGGUUACGGCAAGCUAUCGCUUUGAAUACAUUAGCAUGGAAUAAUAAUAUAGGGCGUAAGUUCUAUUUUGUUGGUUUCUAGAACAUACGCAAUGAUUAAUAGGGACAAUUGGGGGGCAUUC